Molecule: long non-coding RNA, 929 nt
Organism: Prosopis cineraria
Lineage: Eukaryota; Viridiplantae; Streptophyta; Magnoliopsida; Fabales; Fabaceae
Exons: 3
Source: RefSeq, a predicted model, not a curated record
UAAAUGAAGCUACAUCUCUCUCUUUUUCACUUCUAUCGGAUUUCUCUAGAAUCAGUGACUGAGCCCAAUCUUGUUCAACCUUCUUCCUUUUCCUCUUCAUUCUUCCAUCACCGGUAACCAUGGAGGUGCUGUUCGCCGCUGUGGUGGUUCCUUGAGGUCACAAUUUUAUCCUCCCUUCUCUGCCUUGCAUCAUCCUGUUCGUUCUCUGAUUUAUCUUCACCGUUUCUGUUUGCGUCACUGGCGGAACUUUGGGAGUUAGGUUGCAGGAACUAGUUCUCUCUCUCUCUCUCUCUCUCAAGACCUUCUUCUUGGAUCAGUGCUGGAAUCUUCCUUCUCUAUCAGCCUCGUGUGGGUGCAGUAGCUCGAUUCUUCUUCCUCUGCUGUGUUCUAGUUGCCAGAAUCUUCUUCUCCCUUAAUUCUACGAGCUGCUGAUCCAACGUGAUGCUAGCUUUCUUAAGGAGAAAACAGAUGCAGAAACUGAAUUGGAAAGGAAAAGAAAGGAAACAUACGAGACAGAGAGAGAGAGAGGAAGAAGAGAAGAGAAAGAGAAGGAGUUAAGCUUGAAUCUAGGAGGCUUUGCAACCAUUGUGAGCUCGGCUAUAUAAUAGGUUCAGGCGAAGGAACCAGUGGAGGACGGGGAAAGGAGCAGAGCUAGGGGUUGUUUGUGAAUUAUAAAGAACUGUAACCCCUUUCUUUUGAGCAAAUCUAUUGUAAUGUAUUUAGGAUUAUGGUGCCAGUAGGAUAUGAUUAUGUAUAUGUCUGUGAGUAUGUGUGAAUUGUAUGGCUUGUAUAUGAAUUUUUUUUUUGCUUGUAGACUUGUGGCUAGGAAACUUAGCUAUAGUGUGUGGCUUUGAUGGAUUUAUUUAGUAGACCAAGUUUUCACUACAAGAAAAUAUUUAUUUUGGUAUAUAUAUGAUUUCACAAGCAAA